GUGCCAGGGAUUGUUUAUCGCGAGUUGCUCUGUCGGAGCAACCAUUCCACUACUGCCACCUUUGCUCUGAGCCGUUAAUUGUAGCGAGUAUUGUUGUCAUGGCGGCUGCUCGGUUUAGUCGCUCCUCUUUAGCAUGGAUCGAGGUCCGGUUGCUGCACGUUGGUGAAUUUAAGUUGCUGUUAUGGGUGCGGACACCAUGGAGCUGUGAUUGCGAUUGUUACCAAUGUCGGGCCGAGAGGAAAAGAGUUCCGGUGACGUGUUUGGUCUAUAGUUUCGACUUAUUGAGGAACCAGAUGAAGAAGCAUUAAGAAGAGUUAUACUACGUUUGGUUUAUAUGUUGU
This is a non-coding RNA of Arachis ipaensis, 341 nucleotides long. Lineage: Eukaryota; Viridiplantae; Streptophyta; Magnoliopsida; Fabales; Fabaceae. The record is from RefSeq and is a predicted model, not a curated record.